Molecule: ribosomal RNA, 433 nt
Filed under: uncultured bacterium
Lineage: Bacteria
Description: partial 16S ribosomal RNA
Rfam family: Bacterial small subunit ribosomal RNA
Source: RNAcentral
AACGAACGCUGGCGGCAUGCCUAACACAUGCAAGUCGAACGAGACCUUCGGGUCUAGGUGCGAACGGGUGCGUAACGCAUGGGAACCUGCCCGUAGGGGGGGAAUGACUCCCCGAAGGGGGUGCUAAUACGGGAUAAUGGCUUCGGACCAAAGAUUUAUCAGCUUAGGAUUGGCCCGCGUUAGAUUAGCUAGUUGGUAGGGUAAAGGCCUACCAAGGCUACGAUCCAUAGCUGGUCUGGGAGGAUGAUCCGCACCCCUGGGACUGAGACACGUACCAGACUCUCACCGGAGGCAGAAGUGGGGACUAUUCGACAAUGGGCGAAAGCCUGAUCCAGCCAUGCCGUGUGACUGAUGAAGGACUUAGGGUCGUAAAGCUCUUUUAACCGCGAUGCUAAUGACAGUACCGGGCGAAUAAGCUCCGGCUAACUCCGUG